RNAcentral lists this ribosomal RNA (2231 nucleotides) under Helicobacter pylori PZ5056. RNAcentral describes it as "bacterial LSU rRNA". It matches the Rfam family "Bacterial large subunit ribosomal RNA", at positions 1 to 2253 of the family's 2925-position model. The record is from RNAcentral. Lineage: Bacteria; Pseudomonadati; Campylobacterota; Epsilonproteobacteria; Campylobacterales; Helicobacteraceae.
UUAAAACAAGCUUUUAAGAGCAGAUGGCGGAUGCCUUGCCAAAGAGAGGCGAUGAAGGACGUACUAGACUGCGAUAAGCUAUGCGGAGCUGUCAAGGAGCUUUGAUGCGUAGAUGUCCGAAUGGGGCAACCCAACUAAUAGAGAUAUUAGUUACUCUAAUUAUAGAGAGCGAACCUAGUGAAGUGAAACAUCUCAGUAACUAGAGGAAAAGAAAUCAACGAGAUUCCCUAAGUAGUGGCGAGCGAACGGGGAAAAGGGCAAACCGAGUGCUUGCAUUCGGGGUUGAGGACUGCAAUAUCCAAGAGAACGCUUUAGCAGAGUUACCUGGAAAGGUAAGCCAUAGAAAGUGAUAGCCUUGUAUGCGACAAGGCGUUCUCAGGUAGCAGUAUCCAGAGUAGGCCAGGACACGAGAAAUCCAGGUUGAAGCCGGGGAGACCACUCUCCAACCCUAAAUACUACUCUUUGAGCGAUAGCGAACAAGUACCGUGAGGGAAAGGUGAAAAGAACCGCAGUGAGCGGAGUGAAAUAGAACCUGAAACCAUCUGCUUACAAUCAUUCAGAGCCCUAUGAUUUAUCAGGGUGAUGGACUGCCUUUUGCAUAAUGAUCCUGCGAGUUGUGGUAUCUGGCAAGGUUAAGCGAAUGCGAAGCCGUAGCGAAAGCGAGUCUUAAUAGGGCGCUUGAGUCAGAUGCUGCAGACCCGAAGCUAAGUGAUCUAUCCAUGGUCAAGUUGAAACGCGUGUAAUAGCGCGUGGAGGACUGAACUCGUACCCAUUGAAACGGGUUGGGAUGAGCUGUGGAUAGGGGUGAAAGGUCAAACAAACUUAGUGAUAGCUGGUUCUCUUCGAAAUAUAUUUAGGUAUAGCCUCAAGUGAUAAUAAAAGGGGGUAGAGCUCUGAUUGGGCUAGGGCUGCUCGCCGCGGUACCAAACCCUAUCAAACUUCGAAUACCUUUUAUCGUAUCUUGGGAGUCAGGCGGUGGGUGAUAAAAUCAAUCGUCAAAAGGGGAACAACCCAGACUACCAAAUAAGGUCCCUAAGUUCUAUUCUGAGUGGAAAAAGAUGUGUGGCUACUCAAACAACCAGGAGGUUGGCUUAGAAGCAGCCAUCCUUUAAAGAAAGCGUAACAGCUCACUGGUCUAGUGGUCAUGCGCUGAAAAUAUAACGGGGCUAAGAUAGACACCGAAUUUGUAGAUUGUGUUUGACACAGUGGUAGAAGAGCGUUCAUACCAGCGUUGAAGGUAUACCGGUAAGGAGUGCUGGAGCGGUAUGAAGUGAGCAUGCAGGAAUGAGUAACGAUAAGAUAUAUGAGAAUUGUAUCCGCCGUAAAUCUAAGGUUUCCUACGCGAUGGUCGUCAUCGUAGGGUUAGUCGGGUCCUAAGCCGAGUCCGAAAGGGGUAGGUGAUGGCAAAUUGGUUAAUAUUCCAAUACCGACUAUGGAGCGUGAUGGGGGGACGCAUAGGGUUAAGCGAGCUAGCUGAUGGAAGCGCUAGUCUAAGGGCGUAGAUUGGAGGGAAGGCAAAUCCACCUCUGUAUUUGAAACCCAAACAGGCUCUUUGAGUCCUUUUAGGACAAAGGGAGAAUCGCUGAUACCGUCGUGCCAAGAAAAGCCUCUAAGCAUAUCCAUAGUCGUCCGUACCGCAAACCGACACAGGUAGAUGAGAUGAGUAUUCUAAGGCGCGUGAAAGAACUCUGGUUAAGGAACUCUGCAAACUAGCACCGUAAGUUCGCGAUAAGGUGUGCCACAGCGAUGUGGUCUCAGCAAAGAGUCCCUCCCGACUGUUUACCAAAAACACAGCACUUUGCCAACUCGUAAGAGGAAGUAUAAGGUGUGACGCCUGCCCGGUGCUCGAAGGUUAAGAGGAUGCGUCAGUCGCAAGAUGAAGCGUUGAAUUGAAGCCCGAGUAAACGGCGGCCGUAACUAUAACGGUCCUAAGGUAGCGAAAUUCCUUGUCGGUUAAAUACCGACCUGCAUGAAUGGCGUAACGAGAUGGGAGCUGUCUCAACCAGAGAUUCAGUGAAAUUGUAGUGGAGGUGAAAAUUCCUCCUACCCGCGGCAAGACGGAAAGACCCCGUGGACCUUUACUACAACUUAGCACUGCUAAUGGGAAUAUCAUGCGCAGGAUAGGUGGGAGGCUUUGAAGUAAGGGCUUUGGCUCUUAUGGAGCCAUCCUUGAGAUACCACCCUUGAUGUUUCUGUUAGCUAACUGGCCUGUGUUAUCCACAGGCAGGACA